CCUUCACUACAACUUAACAUUGAUUUUGAAUGCCAGAUGUGUAGGAUAGUUGGGAGACUAUGAAGCAGCUUCGCCAGGAGUUGUGGAGUCAUCGUUGAAAUACCAACCUUCUGUUAUUUAGAGUCUAAUCCGGCAACGGAGACAUUGUUUGGUGGGUAGUUUGACUGGGGUGGUCGCCUCCUAAAAGGUAACGGAGGCUCGCAAAGGUACCCUCAGUACGGUUGGUAAUCGUACGCAGAGCGCAUUAGUAUAAGGGUGCUUGACUGUGAGGCAAACAAGCCGAGCAGGUGCGAAAGCAGGCUAAAGUGAUCCGGCGGUUCUGUAUGGAAGGGCCGUCGCUCAAAGGAUNNNNNNNNNNGGGUUCGGCUGUUCGCCGAUUAAAGUGGCACGUGAACUGGGUUCAGAACGUCGCAAGACAGUUCGGUCCCUAUCUGUUGUGAUCGUUAGUAAAUUGAGAGGACAUGACCUUAGUACGAGAGGACCGGGUCGUACGUACCGCUGGUGUAUCUGUUGUGCCGCCAGGUGCAGUGCAGAGUAGCUAAGUACGGAUAGGAUAAACGCUGAAAGCAUCUAAGCGUGAAACCUGCCUCAAGAUGAGUUUACUUUUAAGGGCCGUAGUAGACGACUACGUUGAUAGGCUACAGGUGUAAAGCUAGCAAUAGCAAAGCCGAGUAGUACUAAUUGCUCGUACGCUUUAAUUUU
This 702-nucleotide ribosomal RNA is filed under the name Flavisolibacter sp. RNAcentral's name for it is "Bacterial large subunit ribosomal RNA". It matches the Rfam family "Bacterial large subunit ribosomal RNA", at positions 2098 to 2925 of the family's 2925-position model. The record is from Rfam by way of RNAcentral. Lineage: Bacteria; Pseudomonadati; Bacteroidota; Chitinophagia; Chitinophagales; Chitinophagaceae.